GGCGCGCACCUCACAAGUGCGGCUCAGGAAGAAGGGCUGUGUGGUCUGAGGUUCAAGCCCCCAGGCAGCUCUAGCCUGGUUUAAUUCCAUCUAGCUCCAUUGCUAAUGGCUGUGUGACCUUAGGCCAGACCCCUUCACCUGUCUCACCUCCAUGUCCCCAUCUGUAAGAGGGGAUAAUUCUAUCGCCCCGAGGGGUGCUGUGAAGAUAAAGUAAGCACUCAGGUUUUUGAUGUCUGGUGUUCCAGGCACUCAGCUGGAAGCUGGAAUCCUCUAGAGCUGGAUUCCUGGCGUGGACCUGCUGCCCUGAGGGGGCUUCUAGGGAGCCUCAGUGCCUCUGUUCCCCUGGCGAGAGGGGGCUGCCGUGAGGACUCCUGGAUGGAAGUGCUGGGCCCUUCUCCGGGCUCUGUGCUGAUGGGAUUCAGGAAAUGUCUGUCGCCCCUGCAUCUGGGGUGGGCCCCAGUGCUCAGUGUUCAGCAUGCAGCCCCGGACGCCUGGCCUUUGGUUACCAGCACGCUGGCUGCCUUGGUUUCCCCACCCACUGGGCUGCAGUUGGACUCCUUGCUGAGUCUGCCAGGGUUUUACUGCGACACGGCUUGGCAAGAGCUUGGGCACCAGGCGAGGUUGUUUGUCACGGGUUCUUGAGGAGGCGGGGGGGCAGGUGGCCCCAUGCCAGUGCAGAGCCCACACUCCUCUCGCCAGCUCUGCCGGGCUCAGGCUCAAGUGUGGCUGCUUUAAACGCACCCACCCCAGGGGCCGGUCCCAUGAGCGCUCUCUGCUGUGAUUCAGUGGCGGUUGCUAAGGAAGGCCCAGUACCCGGCCCCUGGGGAGACGCUGCGGCCAGCCUGGCUUCAGCAGACUCGGCAAGGCUUGUACCAGCUACGAGAAAAAUACCCGUCCGUGCUCAGGGUCCUCAGUCCUAAAAUGAAGACAAGGCCGGCUCCAUGGUUCCUGCUGGUUUUGACACACAGUGGUAUGGGGGUGGGGGUGGAGAUUUAGAGAGUAGAGCAAAUGACAAAAAUAAAAAUGAGCUGCACAAAGAGACAACUCUUUGUGUGGAUGUCAACAGCCUCAUGUAAGAUCCUAACUGCAGGAACUCUCUAGAAUGCCUAUUUUGUAUACUGCCACAAGAGUCCUGCAAAGAGUCAACAAUCCCAAGGCAUAAGAACGUGCAGCAGCUUCGUGUUCUGCACACACCAGCCUCCCUGCUUGGGACGCAUCGGUCUGCUGCCCAGCACUCUGGCUCCAUCCAUGCCCCCGACACCAGCCACAGGACAAAGCCGCACGGACAGCUGUUCCCCUGUCCUCAUUUUCACCGGGAGGUGGCUAGACCUUCUGCAUGAGUUGCCUGCUGGUCAGGUUUGGGGAUUACAAGGUAAAUCAGUAAAAAAAGGAAGCCCAGGGCGAUGGUCUCUGGGUCCCAGCACUGUGUCUGAGUGGAAGCAGGCUUGCCGGAAUCCUGCUGGCCAGCUUGCGAGCGGAGAAUCGGCAGGGCGAGGCAUCUUGAUUCAGCUUUUCCUCCAUGCCAGGCACCCCCCUCAAUUUGUUACAUUUAUCCAUCCAUCUCAUCUUCACAACAGCCCCGUGGGGGCGGCAGGGUCAUCAUCCCUGUUUCCGAGCUGGGGAAGCCGAGGGUGCGGUGCUGUUCAGAGGUAUCUAGGAAGUCGCAGGGCCAGGAUUCCAGUCACAGCAAUUUGUCUCCAGAGCCCAGCCCUUAGCCACCUCCCUUCAUUGUCUCCACGGAUUGUUAUGCUCCAGCCUGGCCCAGGUGACACCACGAGUCACCACCUUCCCCACUAUUACCACAGUCAGAAGACUUGUGUCCCUGCCGAGGGCUCGACUGUGACGAGCGCCCGUGGGAACAGGGUGUUUCCUGGGGUCUCCCUGAUAUCGCUGGCUCCGUGAAGUUUCCAGCCGGUGAUUCAUUUGUAUUUGUGCAUUGAUGAAUAAAGGAAAGACACCGGA
This is a long non-coding RNA of Leptonychotes weddellii (Weddell seal), 1962 nucleotides long. RefSeq lists it as uncharacterized. The record is from RefSeq and is a predicted model, not a curated record. Lineage: Eukaryota; Metazoa; Chordata; Mammalia; Carnivora; Phocidae.